AUGAGAAAGUAUAAGCCUUCAAAGAGGAAGAUGUUCAGUCCCGGAAACCAAAUAUGCCCCUCCGCUACAAUGGAAGUGAUAUAUCUUCUACACCUUCUUCCAUUUAAGUCUGGCUGCCUCACCUUUGCUCCAGUCCCUCUGUUCCUGUCAUCUCAGGAAUCUCAUACUUGACAUUACCUACUGUCUCCUGAGUCUUCAACUUGUUAUUCUACUUGAGCUUUGUUAUCUCAGCUAAACUUGUCUCUUUCAUAGAAAGAAAGAAAGAAAGAAAGAAAGAAAGAAAGAAGAAAGAAAGAAAGAAAGAAAAGAGAAAAGAAAAGGAAAGAAGAGAAGAGAAGAGAAGAGAAAAGAAAAGAAAAGAAAAGAAAAGAAAAGAAAAGAAAAGAUUUCUCUCUAAAAAAGAAAUCUUCUGUUUUGUAAAUAAUGAUUUCACAUUUUCCUAACGAGCUCAUAUAAGGCUGCAAAACACUUCAGCGUUCAGCCAUGGUG
Molecule: long non-coding RNA, 489 nt
Filed under: Felis catus (domestic cat)
Lineage: Eukaryota; Metazoa; Chordata; Mammalia; Carnivora; Felidae
Description: lncRNA (ENSFCAG00000042448.2)
Source: RNAcentral